CUAACUAAAAAUAAAAUUUAAUCUUCUUGGCAGAUUCACUUUUCUAUAUACUAAUUUCCGAUGUAGUUUGAAAAAAAAGCAAAAGACUCGGAUAUGAUCAUAGGACUACAACAUGAAGUUUGACGAGUGUCCCAUAUCCCAUCAUUGUUCUCUCAGUUUUCACGACAUGAUUCUCCGUGAUAAUCUCAGAUAUACCUAGGAAGAUCAAAUUACAGAAAAAAAAACCUUGGAAUGGUUCUUUUGAUUUACCUUCGGUUCUUAUUAACGAUAUAGUUAUCUAUAUUAUCACUUCGAAGUGGUGUUCCUGGAACAUUAAAUUGAUUAUAAAUACACUAGAUAUUAAUUCUGUGCAUAUCCAUGUCCCACCCACAAUGCAAAGCAAGACUGCACAUAUACGUUAACGAAUACGCUAGCAAGAUUAGUACGCACAAUCACGCACACACAGGAGGUGCACACAGUAAGAGUCGGGAAGGGGUGGCCACUCGCCUAUGCCACGCCAAAGAUUUUACUGUCGCAGGCAACACCUUCCCAUGGUACGUACUCUGCGAUGAACCGGGUGAACCGGGUGAUGGGAGCUUGCGAAGUCAAUGAUAUAUUUUGGAUCUUGCUGCUUGAUUUUGGCAUCUAUGUUGCAGACCAGAGACCACGUAUUACAGGUACUAUUUCAAUCUCUUGGUUAUUUCAGAUUGCACAUAUAAACCGGGUGAUGGAAGAUGUACUGUACUAAGCGGUUGAAUUGUCGUGUUGACUGGGGACUAUGUCGUUGUCGAAGUCUGUAAUCCAGUUAGACGGUCUUCACUUCUGUAAAGUUCAUCAACCAGAGUCUACUCUUAGAUAUUUUGUUUAAGUAAAAUUUGCUCAAAGUGAUUUAGGAUAUUGGGCCUCUAAAAGAAAAGUAAGAAUCUAAAUUCCUAAGUAAUUAUAACAACUCAAGUGUGAUCUUCUUGUUGCUUAAUUUUCCAGUUAAGAUAUCUUUUUGAUAUAGAUUGCCAGGUUCCGUUCUCGCAUAAAACUCCCAAUCCUAUGAUCAUCAUAUGUCUCCUGUAUGAUGUUUUUGCUGGAAGGUCUGCUUACUUUUAUGUACAUCUCUUUUCUAAAAAUGUCACUGAUAGUUUGUUUUGCCGAACAUAUUAGGUUGACUGGAUUCCAUCUCAAUUCCUGUAUAUCUCUCUAAAAAGGUCACUGGCAAGGUGGUGUGGAGUGAGAAGACAUAGAGAUGGAUGAGGAUGACGGAAGGAAGCAGUAGCAGCUCGAUCCAGGAACCAACAGCUGGCUCGCUCCUAGGUCUUCAACCCGCUCCCCCCCUCCUUUCAGUCUACCGCAUGCAGCAGGUGGGUAUACUCAGCUUCGUUGCUCCCACUCAUCUUCCUCCCUCCCUCUCUUUCUUAUAUAGGUUCCCAUCUAAUGGCAGCUCUCUCUCCCUUUUCCAUCUCUGUUUGGUAGAUGGUGGAGCAACCAAGCAUACAUACACAUUGAAAUUGAUUCUAUUGUAAGCUGAUUCUACAUCCAAGAGAUCAAGAGAUCCUAAUGUUAUAGCAUACGUCCAUAUUGAUGUACAUGAGAGACUAAGAAUUAAACAUGGCAGAGGAAUGUGCCGAGACAAGAUAAGUGCGCACAAGCCCGCCUUAGGAGGUGCCACCAGGUGGCGCCCCAGCCUCUAGUAACACAUGAAAGCCAACGUUGAAAGAAUACUUUGUGGAACCACGUUCAAAAGUUCUGAAAAAAAUCAAAGAAAAAUAUGG
RNAcentral lists this long non-coding RNA (1742 nucleotides) under Triticum aestivum (bread wheat). Its description in RNAcentral is "long non-coding RNA (TAES_LNC010510)". Lineage: Eukaryota; Viridiplantae; Streptophyta; Magnoliopsida; Poales; Poaceae. The record is from RNAcentral.